RNAcentral lists this small nuclear RNA (165 nucleotides) under Chelydra serpentina (North American snapping turtle). RNAcentral's name for it is "U2 spliceosomal RNA (ENSCSRG00000013429.1)". It matches the Rfam family "U2 spliceosomal RNA". Rfam says of the family: U2 is a small nuclear RNA (snRNA) component of the spliceosome (involved in pre-mRNA splicing). Complementary binding between U2 snRNA (in an area lying towards the 5' end but 3' to hairpin I) and the branchpoint sequence (BPS) of the intron results the bulging out of an unpaired adenosine, on the BPS, which initiates a nucleophilic attack at the intronic 5' splice site, thus starting the first of two transesterification reactions that mediate splicing. The record is from Rfam by way of RNAcentral. Lineage: Eukaryota; Metazoa; Chordata; Testudines; Chelydridae.
UUAUUUUUAAAUAUUCUCUAAUAAAAUUUUAAAUCUGUUCUUAUCAGUUUAAUAUCUGAGCUGUUCUCUGAGAACUUUAUAUUACAUGGAUUUUUGGAACAGGGAGUUGGACUAGGAGCUUGCUCCAUCCGCUCCACGCUGGUGCGGGGGGCGUGUGCAUGUGGA